RNAcentral lists this ribosomal RNA (234 nucleotides) under uncultured eukaryote. RNAcentral's name for it is "partial 18S ribosomal RNA". It matches the Rfam family "Eukaryotic small subunit ribosomal RNA", at positions 1299 to 1458 of the family's 1831-position model. The record is from RNAcentral.
UGGUGGAGUGAUUUGUCUGCUUAAUUGCGUUAACGAACGAGACCUCAGCCUGCUAAAUAGUUGUGCGAACCUUCUGAAUGCGGGGUGAAGGGGACGGAGGCAGUAGCCGCUUUCGGGUGGCUGCACCUCCCCCCUGGAUCCUCUGAUGUGUUCGCAAUGGGCCGCUUUUCAGGUCCGACAUACUUCUUAGAGGGACUACCGGUAUCGAGCCGGGGGAAGUUUGAGGCAACAACA